RNAcentral lists this long non-coding RNA (140 nucleotides) under Aedes aegypti (yellow fever mosquito). RNAcentral describes it as "lncRNA AAEL028817". It matches the Rfam family "Sphinx conserved region 2". The record is from RNAcentral. Lineage: Eukaryota; Metazoa; Arthropoda; Insecta; Diptera; Culicidae.
CUGGAACCGGUGGCCGUGCCUUCUGAAGAUGGAAACACAAGUACUGGUAACCCAAGCGAAUGGGAAUUGCCCUGUUCUUCCAGAUCAUCGUCGGCGGAAUGUUCUUCUAUGCAUCAACUGAAGCACCACAGGAACUACAA